UGUCAAAGUUUGUGUCAGUCACUUGGUGGAGAAGGGUGAAUUUUACCCAUCAAGUGCUGAAAAGCUUGUUUUUGUCACUACUUUCACAUCUUUGCAGGGUCGGAUUAAAGGAAAAGGAGAUGGAUUUCAGUGGAGAUGAACAUCAGGCAUAGGUCGUGGAUAUCGAAGGGGACUUCUACAAUCUUUGAGUACCCAUGCUUCUUGAAUAUGCCAAGUGUGAAAGAUUGAGAAAUUGAAAGCUGAAGCUACCAUGGAAAGGAAUGACUUUGCAUCUCUUAUAGAGGGGAUGGAAGACCAAGCAAAUGGUAUGUAUGUGUGAACUCUUUACUUACACACAUCUCUUGUGUAUAAUUUAUUAUAACAAAUAUUCAUUAAUAUAUGAC
Long non-coding RNA from Sinocyclocheilus anshuiensis, 383 nucleotides. RefSeq lists it as uncharacterized. The record is from RefSeq and is a predicted model, not a curated record. The transcript has 4 exons. Lineage: Eukaryota; Metazoa; Chordata; Actinopteri; Cypriniformes; Cyprinidae.